UACAGAGGGUGCAAACGUUGCUCGGAAUCAUUGGGCGUAAAGCGCACGUAGGCGGCGCGUUAAGUCGGAUGUGAAAGCCCCGGGCUCAACUCGGGAAGUGCAUACGAAACUGGCGCGCUUGAGUAUGGAAGAGGGUCGCGGAAUUCCCGGUGUAGAGGUGAAAUGCGUAGAUAUCGGGAGGAACACCUGUGGCGAAAGCGGCGCACUGGACCAUAACUGACGCUGAUGCGCGAAAGCUAGGGGAGCAAACAGG
Molecule: ribosomal RNA, 253 nt
Filed under: uncultured bacterium
Lineage: Bacteria
Description: partial 16S ribosomal RNA
Rfam family: Bacterial small subunit ribosomal RNA
Source: RNAcentral